This 252-nucleotide ribosomal RNA is filed under the name uncultured bacterium. Its description in RNAcentral is "partial 16S ribosomal RNA". It matches the Rfam family "Bacterial small subunit ribosomal RNA", at positions 524 to 776 of the family's 1533-position model. The record is from RNAcentral.
UACGUAGGGAGCGAGCGUUGUCCGGAAUUACUGGGUGCAAAGGGAGCGUAGGCGGGGAUGCAAGUUGGGUGUCAAAACUACCGGCUCAACUGGUAGUCGCACUCAAAACUGCAGCUCUUGAGUGAAGUAGAGGCAGGCGGAAUUCCUAGUGUAGCGGUGAAAUGCGUAGAUAUUAGGAGGAACACCAGUGGCGAAGGCGGCCUGCUGGGCUUUUACUGACGCUGAGGCUCGAAAGUGUGGGGAGCAAACAGG